This 486-nucleotide ribosomal RNA is filed under the name uncultured bacterium. RNAcentral describes it as "bacterial SSU rRNA". It matches the Rfam family "Bacterial small subunit ribosomal RNA", at positions 28 to 507 of the family's 1533-position model. The record is from RNAcentral.
GAUGAACGCUAGCGACAGGCCUAACACAUGCAAGUCGAGGGGCAGCACAUGAGUAGCAAUACGAUGGUGGCGACCGGCGCACGGGUGAGUAACACGUAUGCAACCUGCCUGUAAGAGGGGAAUAACCCGGAGAAAUUCGGACUAAUACCGCAUAAUACCACGAGACUGCAUGGUUUGUGGUUAAACAUUUAUGGCUUACAGAUGGGCAUGCGUAUGAUUAGAUAGUUGGUAGGGUAACGGCCUACCAAGUCUACGAUCAUUAGGGGUUCUGAGAGGAAGGUCCCCCACACUGGUACUGAGACACGGACCAGACUCCUACGGGAGGCAGCAGUGAGGAAUAUUGGUCAAUGGGCGAGAGCCUGAACCAGCCAAGUCGCGUGAAGGAAGAAGGUUCUAUGGAUUGUAAACUUCUUUUGCAGGGGAAUAAAGGACGGUACGUGUACUGUUUUGUAUGUACCUUGCGAAUAAGGAUCGGCUAACUCCGUG